This 1011-nucleotide small RNA is filed under the name Rattus norvegicus (Norway rat). Its description in RNAcentral is "uncharacterized LOC108350998". Lineage: Eukaryota; Metazoa; Chordata; Mammalia; Rodentia; Muridae. The record is from RNAcentral.
UGUUAAGAAAAACGUAGACAAAUGGAGGUCUGAGAGAAACAAGGAUUCUAUUGAGAACUGGGCUGGUGUCAUUCGUGUGCUAUUCUGGCAAAGGGUCUGGCUACGUUUUGUUCAUGUCCUGACAACUUGAGUGAAGCUAACUUGGAAAGUGAUGAACUAAUGUGUUUGGCAGGGGAAAUGUCAAGGCAGAUACCAUCCAGUCUGUGUUAUGGUUUCUGCUCACUGCGUGUAUCCAAGUCUGCAGAGAGAGAAAGCAACCGUGGGAGAGAAAAGAUGUGAAAAAUGUGUCACUCGCUGAAGAGAGGAGAGAGUCUACUACUGCAGGCAAGGACAUCUUAGGAUCACAUCUCCUAUUAAUAUAAACGUGGAGCCAGGAUGAUGAAGACUGAAAACUUGAGGGAAGUUGGCUGGAAACCAAAACUCAGUUCCAAAAAAAAAGCAAACUCUACCAGGAAGCUCCUCCCUCCUUCAGCAUCUAUCAGGAAGCUCCUCCUCCUUCAGCAUCUACCAGGAAGCUCCUCCUCCUCCAGCAUCUACCAGGAAGCUCCUCCUCCUUCAGAUCUACAAGGAAGCUCCUCCCUCCUUCAGCAUCUACCAGAAGUUCCUCCUCCUUCAGCAUCUACCAGGAAGCUCCUCCUCCUCCAGCAUCUACCAGGAAGCUCCUCCUCCUUCAGAUCUACAAGGAAGCUCCUCCCUCCUUCAGCAUCUACCAGAAGUUCCUUCCUCCUUCAGCAUCUACCAGAAGCUCCUCCUCCUUCAGCAUCUACCAGAAGUCAAAUGCUAUCCUAAUUCAUAUCCCCUUAAAGCUACUAAAAAUUAAUGUUUCUCUUUAGAGUGAUAGUGGUUAGUUGUCACUAUAAAGCAUCUAUCUUAUUACGUUAAUUGAUCUCUUUUCUUAAUUUUAUGAAACCAGAUGGACUCCUGACUCUAUCCUUGAAAGGAGCAAUUUUGAUGAGUAAGGCGGAUUAUAACAAUCAAAAUGCCCAAUAAAGGGUUUACCAUGUGAGCGUA